This 1432-nucleotide ribosomal RNA is filed under the name metagenome. Its description in RNAcentral is "bacterial SSU rRNA". It matches the Rfam family "Bacterial small subunit ribosomal RNA". The record is from RNAcentral.
GAGUGGCGAACGGGUGAGUAACGCGUGGAUAAUCUGCCCUUAAGUUGGGGAUAACUCAUCGAAAGGUGGGCUACUACCGAAUGAUGUUGCAUGAUUGCGGUUGUGCAACCAAAGAAGGCCUCUGUUUACAAGCUUUCGCUGAAGGAUGAGUCCGCGUACCAUUAGCUAGUUGGUAGGGUAAUGGCCUACCAAGGCGACGAUGGUUAGCUGGUCUGAGAGGAUGAUCAGCCACACUGGAACUGAGAUACGGUCCAGACUCCUACGGGAGGCAGCAGUGAGGAAUCUUGCGCAAUGGGGGAAACCCUGACGCAGCAACGCCGCGUGAGUGAGGAAGGCCUUCGGGUCGUAAAGCUCUGUCAGAUGGAAAGAAAUGUAUGAGGGCUAAUAUCCUUCAUAUUUGACGGUACCAUCAGAGGAAGCACCGGCUAACUCCGUGCCAGCAGCCGCGGUAAUACGGGGGGUGCGAGCGUUGUUCGGAAUUAUUGGGCGUAAAGAGCGUGUAGGCGGCUUGGUAAGUCAGAUGUGAAAGCCCGGGCUUAACCCGGGAAGUGCAUUUGAAACUGUCGAGCUUGAGUAGGGGAGAGGGAAGCGGAAUUCCUGGUGUAGAGGUGAAAUUCGUAGAUAUCAGGAGGAACACCGGUGGCGAAGGCGGCUUCCUGGCCCUAUACUGACGCUGAGACGCGAGAGCGUGGGUAGCAAACAGGAUUAGAUACCCUGGUAGUCCACGCCGUAAACGAUGUUCACUAGGUGUUGGGGGUAUUGACCCCCUCAGUGCCGCAGCUAACGCAUUAAGUGAACCGCCUGGGGAGUACGGUCGCAAGACUAAAACUCAAAGGAAUUGACGGGGGCCCGCACAAGCGGUGGAGCAUGUGGUUUAAUUCGAUGCAACGCGAAGAACCUUACCUGGGCUUGACAUCCCUGGAAUCCUCUGGAAACAGGGGAGUGCCCUUCGGGGAGCCAGGAGACAGGUGCUGCAUGGCUGUCGUCAGCUCGUGUCGUGAGAUGUUGGGUUAAUCCCGCAACGAGCGCAACCCUUGUCUUUAAUUGCCAUCAUUAAGUUGGGCACUUUAAAGAGACUGCCGGUGUUAAGCCGGAGGAAGGUGGGGAUGACGUCAAGUCCUCAUGGCCUUUAUGCCCAGGGCUACACACGUGCUACAAUGGAUGGUACAAAGAGCAGCAACCUCGCGAGGGGACGCAAAUCUCAAAAAGCCAUCCUCAGUUCGGAUUGAAGUCUGCAACUCGACUUCAUGAAGUUGGAAUCGCUAGUAAUCGCGGAUCAGAAUGCCGCGGUGAAUACGUUCCCGGGCCUUGUACACACCGCCCGUCACACCCUGAAAGUUGAUUGCACCAGAAGUCGUUGGGCUAACCUUUUAACCGAGGAGGCAGACGCCUACGGUGUGGUUGGUGAUUGGGGUGAAGUCGGAACAAGGUA